This 253-nucleotide ribosomal RNA is filed under the name uncultured bacterium. RNAcentral describes it as "partial 16S ribosomal RNA". It matches the Rfam family "Bacterial small subunit ribosomal RNA", at positions 524 to 776 of the family's 1533-position model. The record is from RNAcentral.
UACGUAGGUGGCAAGCGUUUGUCCGGAAUUAUUGGGCGUAAAGCGCGCGCAGGCGGCCUCUUAAGUCUGAUGUGAAAGCCCCCGGCUCAACCGGGGAGGGCCAUUGGAAACUGGGGGGCUUGAGUAUAGGAGAGAAGAGUGGAAUUCCACGUGUAGCGGUGAAAUGCGUAGAGAUGUGGAGGAAGCACCAGUGGCGAAGGCGACUCUUGGCGAUAACUGACGCUGAGGCGCGAAAGCGUGGGGAGCAAACAGG